Long non-coding RNA from Megalops cyprinoides (Indo-Pacific tarpon), 448 nucleotides. RefSeq lists it as uncharacterized. The record is from RefSeq and is a predicted model, not a curated record. The transcript is spliced from 3 exons. Lineage: Eukaryota; Metazoa; Chordata; Actinopteri; Elopiformes; Megalopidae.
GUUGUCAUUGGUAUCCAGCACGCGCACAAUGAUGCUAGCGGUGCCGGAUCGCGCGGGGACUCCGCCAUCUACAGCGAGCUCCUAUCCCUGCUGAAGAGAAGCAGCAACCCACAGUAUGAUGCUGAAUAUCUACUGAGAACCUGGAAACCUGCUGAGAAAACCUACAGGAGCAGCAGAUUUUAUCCUGAACUAAUCAGAAUUACUUCAGCUGGACACAGACUGCCUUCUGUUGGAUGCUGUCAAAAUCCUAUAUUCACAUCAGCCACUUACUUUACUCUGGAUCCAAGCAAGUAAACUCAUCCUCUGAGUAGCACAAAGACACUGCUCUACCCUGGACCUUGCUCUGCGCUACACUGGACCCUCCACACUAGACCCUGUUCCUGCUGUCCUCUGAUUCAUCUUUAAAUAACUCAUAACUCUUGUUGCAGAUUAAUGUCUGUCCAUCUUA